This 403-nucleotide ribosomal RNA is filed under the name uncultured bacterium. Its description in RNAcentral is "partial 16S ribosomal RNA". It matches the Rfam family "Bacterial small subunit ribosomal RNA", at positions 29 to 526 of the family's 1533-position model. The record is from RNAcentral.
AUUGAACGCUGGCGGCAGGCCUAACACAUGCAAGUCGAGCGAGCGGCGGACGGGUGAGUAAUGUAUGGGGACUGCCCGAUAGAGGGGGAUAACUACUGGAAACGGUAGCUAAUACCGCAUACUAUCGGAUAACCCAUAUGGGAUUAGCUAGUAGGUGAGGUAAUGGAUCACCUAGGCGACGAUCCCUAGCUGGUCUGAGAGGAUGAUCAGCAAGACUGGGAAGGAGACACGGCCCAGGCUCGUACGGAGGCAGCAGUGGAGAAAAUUGCACGAUGGGCGAAAGCCUGAGGCGGCCAUGCCGCGUGGAUGAAGGAGGCCCAAGGGUUGUAAAGUACUUUCAGUCGGGAGGCGUUACCGACAGAAGAAGCACCGGCUAGAUCCGUGCCAGCAGCCGCGGUAAUUC